RNAcentral lists this ribosomal RNA (496 nucleotides) under uncultured bacterium. Its description in RNAcentral is "partial 16S ribosomal RNA". It matches the Rfam family "Bacterial small subunit ribosomal RNA", at positions 29 to 507 of the family's 1533-position model. The record is from RNAcentral.
AUGAACGCUGGCGGCGUGCCUAAUACAUGCAUGUCGAGCGAACAGACGAGGAGCUUGCUCCUCUGACGUUAGCGGCGGACGGGUGAGUAACACGUGGAUAACCUACCUAUAAGACUGGGAUAACUUCGGGAAACCGGAGCUAAUACCGGAUAAUAUAUUGAACCGCAUGGUUCAAUAGUGAAAGACGGUUUUGCUGUCACUUAUAGAUGGAUCCGCGCCGCAUUAGCUAGUUGGUAAGGUAACGGCUUACCAAGGCGACGAUGCGUAGCCGACCUGAGAGGGUGAUCGGCCACACUGGAACUGAGACACGGUCCAGACUCCUACGGGAGGCAGCAGUAGGGAAUCUUCCGCAAUGGGCGAAAGCUUGACGGAGCAACGCCGCGUGAGUGAUGAAGGUCUUCGGAUCGUAAAACUCUGUUAUUAGGGAAGAACAAAUGUGUAAGUAACUAUGCACGUCUUGACGGUACCUAAUCAGAAAGCCACGGCUAACUACGUG